Molecule: ribosomal RNA, 254 nt
Filed under: uncultured bacterium
Lineage: Bacteria
Description: partial 16S ribosomal RNA
Rfam family: Bacterial small subunit ribosomal RNA
Source: RNAcentral
AGCGAACGCUGGCGGCGUGCUUAACACAUGCAAGUCGAGUGCGUAGCCCUUUGUAGCAAUACAGAGGGUGGGCGCACGGCGCACGGGUGAGUAACACGUGGGUAACCUGCCCUUCGGUGGGGAAUAACCCCGCCGAAAGACGGGGCGUAAUUCCGCAUAACAUUCCGGGGACGACAUGUUCUCGGACUCAAAGGAAGUGAUUCGCCGGAGGAGGGGCCCGGCCGCCCGACUCAGCUUGUUGGUAGGGUAGGCGG